This 496-nucleotide ribosomal RNA is filed under the name uncultured bacterium. Its description in RNAcentral is "partial 16S ribosomal RNA". It matches the Rfam family "Bacterial small subunit ribosomal RNA", at positions 28 to 506 of the family's 1533-position model. The record is from RNAcentral.
GACGAACGCUGGCGGCGUGCCUAAUACAUGCAAGUUGAGCGCUGAAGGUUGGUACUUGUACCAACUGGAUGAGCAGCGAACGGGUGAGUAACGCGUGGGGAAUCUGCCUUUGAGCGGGGGACAACAUUUGGAAACGAAUGCUAAUACCGCAUAAAAACUUUAAACACAAGUUUUAAGUUUGAAAGAUGCAAUUGCAUCACUCAAAGAUGAUCCCGCGUUGUAUUAGCUAGUUGGUGAGGUAAAGGCUCACCAAGGCGAUGAUACAUAGCCGACCUGAGAGGGUGAACGGCCACAUUGGGACUGAGAAACGGCCCAAACUCCAAAGGGAGGCAGCAGUAGGGAAUCUUCGGAAAUGGACGAAAGUCUGACCGAGAAACGCCGGGGGAGGGAAGAAGGUUUUGGGAUCGAAAAACCCUGUUGGUAGAGAAGAACGUUGGGGGGAGGGAAAAGCCCAAAAAGGGACGGGAACAAACAAAAAAGGGAAGGACAAAUAAGG